GGUAGGAUGGCUGAGGGUAAAGCAGGGGGCUGUAGUCCCCCGUACAGAGGUUUAAGUCCUUUUCCUGCCA
This 70-nucleotide transfer RNA is filed under the name Diplometopon zarudnyi. RNAcentral's name for it is "tRNA-Tyr". It matches the Rfam family "tRNA". From Rfam's summary of the family: Transfer RNA (tRNA) molecules are approximately 80 nucleotides in length. Their secondary structure includes four short double-helical elements and three loops (D, anti-codon, and T loops). The record is from RNAcentral. Lineage: Eukaryota; Metazoa; Chordata; Lepidosauria; Squamata; Trogonophidae.